GGGUAACGGGGUGUUAGGGCACGACACCGGAGAGGGAGCCUGAGAAACGGCUACCACAUCCAAGGAUGGCAGCAGGCGCGCAAAUUACCCAAUCCCGACACGGGGAGGUAGUGACAAUAAAUAACAAUACGGGGUUCUUUAGGAUCUCGUAAUUGGAAUGAGUACAAUUUAAAUCUCUUAACGAGGAACAAUUGGAGGGCAAGUCUGGUGCCAGCAGCCGCGGUAAUUCCAGCUCCAAUAGCGUAUAUUAAAGUUGUUGCAGUUAAAAAGCUCGUAGUUGAAUUUCGGGGUUAGUAGGUUGGUCAUGCCUCUGGUAUGUACUGGUCUCACUGAUUCCUCCUUCCUUAUGAACCGUAAUGCCAUUAAUUUGGUGUUGCGGGGAAUUUGGACUGUUACUUUGAAAAAAUUAGAGUGUUUAAAGCAAGCUAACGCUUGAAUACAUUAGCAUGGAACAAUGAAAUAGGACGUUCGAUCUUAUUUUGUUGGUUUCUAGGAUUGACGUAAUGAUUAAUAGGGAUAGUUGGGGGCAUUAGUAUUCAAUUGUCAGAGGUGAAAUUCUUGGAUUUAUUGAAGACUAACUACUGCGAAAGCAUUUGCCAAGGAUGUUUUCGUUUAAUCAAGAACGAAAGUUAGGGGAUCGAAGACGAUCAGAUACC
RNAcentral lists this ribosomal RNA (656 nucleotides) under uncultured Glomus. RNAcentral describes it as "SSU rRNA". It matches the Rfam family "Eukaryotic small subunit ribosomal RNA", at positions 357 to 1016 of the family's 1831-position model. Lineage: Eukaryota; Fungi; Glomeromycota; Glomeromycetes; Glomerales; Glomeraceae. The record is from RNAcentral.